AAAAUGGCGACACGUGGUUAGCAUUCGUCGCCAACGAGAAAUUGGGGUCGGCCCGAAAGCUCUAGAAUGCACCCCUCUUCCUCCCCGGGGCCUUCCACCUCCGCGAGUUUUAUGACUUAAAAAAGCCCACAGGCUGGUCUGAAGGUCGGAGGCCUAAUUUUAACGCGUUUUCCUCCCUUUAAUUUGAAACGGGAACGCGAAUGACUGUAAAAUGUGGGCACAAUAUUUAAUCUCUCGCCUUUUUAAAGCUUAAUAGUGGAUAAUAGGGGGGCAGUAUCAAGGGAUAAUUUGGGUCCCCACAGUACCAAAGCAUUUAGAAACCUCUGUUUAAUUUAAGGAAUGAGAUAAGUUACUGCUUUUCUAGACUUCCUAGCAUGGGCUGUUGUGCUGGAGAGAACGAGAGCUACGAAGAGACUACAGUGCCUCUGACUUUUUCAUAGGACAGUUGGCCGAGGAAGACAAACAUAAAGAUGAAGUGCUUAAUUCAAGGUCACACAAUGUCGGGGAUGGACCUCCAGAUUUCCUUACUGGUGAGACGUGGUCUUGUAACACAGUGGUUAAGAAUGUGACUUUGGAGCCAGCCUGCUAGGGGCUGAAUUCUGACUCAGCCAUUUACUAACUGUGUGACCUUAGGUAAGUCAUUUACCUUCUUUGUCCCUCAGUUUCAUCUCGGUUAAGUAGGGAUAAUGAUAGCACCUAUUUUAUAGGGUUAUUGUGAGGAAUAAAUCCAAGUAAAAUGCUUAGAAUAGUAACUGAAACAUAGCACUCAUUAGGAAUGCUUUAAUUUUCAUUUAUUUGAGUAUUAAAGGUUGAAUUUUCAGAGGUA
RNAcentral lists this long non-coding RNA (826 nucleotides) under Homo sapiens (human). RNAcentral describes it as "PCBP1 antisense RNA 1". The record is from RNAcentral. Lineage: Eukaryota; Metazoa; Chordata; Mammalia; Primates; Hominidae.